This is a non-coding RNA of Danio rerio (zebrafish), 767 nucleotides long. The record is from RefSeq and is a predicted model, not a curated record. Lineage: Eukaryota; Metazoa; Chordata; Actinopteri; Cypriniformes; Danionidae.
UGCUUUAGUGAUGUCCAGCGGCAGAAUAACAGCUCGUUAAUUCAUGCUUGUGCAGUUGAUGAGACGGAGAAAAGUAAUUAAUGUAUGCACUUCUUUUACUUAUUUUUAUGUUGUCAGGUUCACAGUGCAAACAGCUCCCGGUGGGAAUAACUUGAGUGAACAUAAAACAAAGCCGAAGCUCUGCUUGAGCAGCACUGCACACAGCGAGCUCACAUCAUCCAGCUUGCGUGUCGAACUACACUACCCACAAUACACUUCGCUAUGGACUACAACUCCCUUAAAUAUUCUAUUUCCCCUCCUGAAACACUAGCGUGCAAAUUAAGCUAAACUGAUACUAAAAUUGUUUUACAUUUGGUUUUGUAGUUCGGGCCAAAAUAAUGUUUGUUGCCGUUUUUAAUCGUUUAGGUUCAUUUGAUCGUGUAACCCUCGAUACACAAAUGUAUUAUAAGCUGUUAAUCAAUUGACCAUAUGCUCAGAAGUCUAAAUUUCUCCAAAGAGAGAGAAGAUACAACAACAGUGAAGGACUCGGACACAGAGGGUUUUUGGCUGUAUCACUAAUAAGGUGUAUCCAAAGAAUCCACUUAAUGGGAGGCUCGCCAGUCCAACUCCACAAUUAGACACGCACCGAUGGAAGUUGAGACAAUCCAAAUCCAGAAAAGAGUUCACACUUCAAUUAAUUUGAAUCCAGAGCAAAUCACAUUUAGCAACUGACUUCAAUAGAACAUCUCACCGAUGAAAAACCAGAAGAAGAUGCACAAGCAAACAAA